This 397-nucleotide ribosomal RNA is filed under the name uncultured bacterium. RNAcentral's name for it is "partial 16S ribosomal RNA". It matches the Rfam family "Bacterial small subunit ribosomal RNA", at positions 523 to 918 of the family's 1533-position model. The record is from RNAcentral.
AUACGUAGGGGGCGAGCGUUGUCCGGAAUGAUUGGGCGUAAAGGGCGCGUAGGCGGCGCGGUAAGUCUGGAGUGAAAGUCCUGCUUUCAAGGUGGGAAUUGCUUUGGAUACUGCCGAGCUUGAGUGCAGGAGAGGUUAUCGGAAUUCCCGGUGUAGCGGUGAAAUGCGUAGAGAUCGGGAGGAACACCAGUGGCGAAGGCGGGUAACUGGACUGCAACUGACGCUGAGGCGCGAAAGUGUGGGGAGCAAACAGGAUUAGAUACCCUGGUAGUCCACACUGUAAACGAUGAAUGCUAGGUGUAAGAGGUAUCGACCCCUUUUGUGCCGGAGUCAACACAAUAAGCAUUCCGCCUGGGGAGUACGGCCGCAAGGUUGAAACUCAAAUGAAUUGACGGGG